RNAcentral lists this small RNA (581 nucleotides) under Pan troglodytes (chimpanzee). Its description in RNAcentral is "retained intron". The record is from RNAcentral. Lineage: Eukaryota; Metazoa; Chordata; Mammalia; Primates; Hominidae.
AUCCGGACUCCGGCCCGGACUACGAGGCGCUGCCGGCUGGAGCCACUGUCACCACGCACAUGGUGGCAGGCGCCGUGGCAGGGAUCCUGGAGCACUGCGUGAUGUACCCCAUCGACUGCGUCAAGACCCGGAUGCAGAGUCUACAGCCUGACCCAGCUGCCCGCUAUCGCAAUGUGUUGGAGGCCCUCUGGAGGAUUAUAAGAACGGAGGGCCUAUGGAGGCCCAUGAGGGGGCUGAACGUCACAGCAACAGGCGCAGGGCCUGCCCACGCCCUUUAUUUUGCCUGCUACGAAAAGUUAAAAAAGACAUUGAGUGAUGUAAUCCACCCUGGGGGCAAUAGCCAUAUUGCCAAUGGUAUUGAGCCUUCCUGUGCUGGUUCCCCCACUUUCCCAACUCUUUGGGCUUUGCUGCUGUCAGUGCUUUCCAGUCUCAGCAUGGUUUGGAGCUGAAGCUUUGGGCUGGGAUAGGCCAGAUUAUAAGGGAGGGACUUCCAAACCUGAUGUUCUCAGACAACGGGCCGCUUCAACCCUGCCUUUUCCUUUGGGGCACCUCAACAAAGGGUUACAGUAUCCUCCCUUACC